UGGUCCUUCGUCCAACGGCAGGACACGAGGCUUUGAACCUCGGUAUGCGGGUCCGAAUCCCGCGGGGCCAA
RNAcentral lists this transfer RNA (71 nucleotides) under Desulfobacca sp. RBG_16_60_12. Its description in RNAcentral is "tRNA-Gln". It matches the Rfam family "tRNA". Rfam says of the family: Transfer RNA (tRNA) molecules are approximately 80 nucleotides in length. Their secondary structure includes four short double-helical elements and three loops (D, anti-codon, and T loops). Further hydrogen bonds mediate the characteristic L-shaped molecular structure. tRNAs have two regions of fundamental functional importance: the anti-codon, which is responsible for specific mRNA codon recognition, and the 3' end, to which the tRNAs corresponding amino acid is attached (by aminoacyl-tRNA synthetases). tRNAs cope with the degeneracy of the genetic code in two manners: having more than one tRNA (with a specific anti-codon) for a particular amino acid; and 'wobble' base-pairing, i.e. permitting non-standard base-pairing at the 3rd anti-codon position. Lineage: Bacteria; Pseudomonadati; Thermodesulfobacteriota; Desulfobaccia; Desulfobaccales; Desulfobaccaceae. The record is from RNAcentral.